AACGCGAAGAACCUUACCCAGGCUUGAACAGCGAGUGACCAUCGAUGAAAGUCGACUUCCGCAAGGACACUUGUAGAGGUGCUGCAUGGCUGUCGUCAGCUCGUGUCGUGAGAUGUUGGGUUAAGUCCCGCAACGAGCGCAACCCUUGUUUGCUGUUGCCAUCAGGUCAAGCUGGGCACUCUGCAAAGACUGCCGGUGAUAAACCGGAGGAAGGUGGGGAUGACGUCAAGUCAGCAUGGCCUUUAUGUCUGGGGCUACACACGUGCUACAAUGGCCGAUACAAACCGUCGCAAAACCGCAAGGUGGAGCUAAUCGGAGAAAGUCGGUCUCAGUUCGGAUAGCAGGCUGCAACUCGCCUGCUUGAAGUUGGAAUCGCUAGUAAUCGCGGAUCAGCACGCCGCGGUGAAUACGUUCCCGGGCCUUGUACACACCGUAGUAC
RNAcentral lists this ribosomal RNA (439 nucleotides) under uncultured bacterium. Its description in RNAcentral is "bacterial SSU rRNA". It matches the Rfam family "Bacterial small subunit ribosomal RNA", at positions 958 to 1398 of the family's 1533-position model. The record is from RNAcentral.